AGAGUUUGAUCAUGGCUCAGGACGAACGCUGGCGGCGUGCCUAAUACAUGCAAGUCGAGCGAACCGACGAAGUGCUUGCACUUCUGACGUUAGCGGCGGACGGGUGAGUAACACGUAAGGAACCUACCGAUAAGCGGGGGACAACAUCCGGAAACGGGUGCUAAUACCGCAUAGGAAAGGUCACCACAUGGUGACCUUUGGAAAGACGGCUUUGCUGUCACUUAUCGAUGGCCUUGCGGUGCAUUAGCUCGUUGGUGGGGUAACGGCCUACCAAGGCAAUGAUGCAUAGCCGACCUGAGAGGGUAAUCGGCCACAUUGGGACUGAGACACGGCCCAAACUCCUACGGGAGGCAGCAGUAGGGAAUCUUCCGCAAUGGGCGCAAGCCUGACGGAGCAACGCCGCGUGAGUGAAGAAGGUUUUCGGAUCGUAAAGCUCUGUUGUAAGAGAAGAACAAAUUGGAGAGUAACUGCUCCAGUCUUGACGGUAUCUUACCAGAAAGCCACGGCUAACUACGUGCCAGCAGCCGCGGUAAUACGUAGGUGGCAAGCGUUGUCCGGAUUUAUUGGGCGUAAAGGGGGCGCAGGCGGUUUCUUAAGUCUGAUGUGAAAGCCCACGGCUUAACCGUGGAAGUGCAUUGGAAACUGGGGAACUUGAGUACAGAAGAGGAAAGUGGAACUCCAUGUGUAGCGGUGGAAUGCGUAGAUAUAUGGAAGAACACCAGUGGCGAAGGCGACUUUCUGGUCUGUCACUGACGCUGAGGCCCGAAAGCGUGGGUAGCAAACAGGAUUAGAUACCCUGGUAGUCCACGCCGUAAACGAUGAGUGCUAGGUGUUGGAGGGUUUCCACCCUUCAGUGCCGGAGUUAACGCAUUAAGCACUCCGCCUGGGGAGUACGGCCGCAAGGCUGAAACUCAAAUGGAAUUGACGG
RNAcentral lists this ribosomal RNA (928 nucleotides) under Aerococcus urinae. RNAcentral's name for it is "bacterial SSU rRNA". It matches the Rfam family "Bacterial small subunit ribosomal RNA", at positions 8 to 916 of the family's 1533-position model. The record is from RNAcentral. Lineage: Bacteria; Bacillati; Bacillota; Bacilli; Lactobacillales; Aerococcaceae.